This 251-nucleotide ribosomal RNA is filed under the name uncultured prokaryote. Its description in RNAcentral is "partial 16S rRNA". It matches the Rfam family "Bacterial small subunit ribosomal RNA", at positions 525 to 775 of the family's 1533-position model. The record is from RNAcentral.
ACGGAGGGUGCGAGCGUUAAUCGGAAUUACUGGGCGUAAAGCGCGCGUAGGCGGUUUGGUAAGUCGGAUGUGAAAGCCCUCGGCUCAACCUGGGAACUGCAUUCGAAACUGCCAUACUUGAGUGCGGGAGAGGGUGGUGGAAUUCCAGGUGUAGGAGUGAAAUCCGUAGAUAUCAGGAGGAACACCGGUGGCGAAGGCGGCUACCUGGACCGAUACUGACGCUGAGACGCGAAAGCGUGGGGAGCAAACAG